This 255-nucleotide ribosomal RNA is filed under the name uncultured bacterium. Its description in RNAcentral is "partial 16S ribosomal RNA". It matches the Rfam family "Bacterial small subunit ribosomal RNA", at positions 524 to 776 of the family's 1533-position model. The record is from RNAcentral.
UACAGGAGGGUGCAAGCGUUUGUUCGGAUUCAUUGGGCGUAAAGGGUGCGUAGGUGGCGCCGUAAGUCAGGUGUGAAAUUUCGGAGCUUAACUCCGAAACUGCAUUUGAUACUGCGGUGCUUGAGGACUGGAGAGGAGACUGGAAUUCACGGUGUAGCAGUGAAAUGCGUAGAUAUCGUGAGGAAGACCAGUGGCGAAGGCGGGUCUCUGGACAGUUCCUGACACUGAGGCACGAAGGCCAGGGGAGCAAACGGG